RNAcentral lists this transfer RNA (72 nucleotides) under Blastochloris sp. RNAcentral describes it as "tRNA-Val". It matches the Rfam family "tRNA". From Rfam's summary of the family: Transfer RNA (tRNA) molecules are approximately 80 nucleotides in length. The record is from RNAcentral. Lineage: Bacteria; Pseudomonadati; Pseudomonadota; Alphaproteobacteria; Hyphomicrobiales; Blastochloridaceae.
GGACCCUUAGCUUAGUGGUAGAGCGUCCGCUUCACACGCGGAAGGUCGCUGGUUCGAACCCAGCAGGGUCCA